CAUUUUCUCUAGGAAUUUCCGUUUUCGUUUUCAUUUCAAUUCAUGGCUCAUCAACCGAUCCCAGGUCCUAGCUCGGGAUCGAGUUCAAGUUCAGGGUUUCAAUAUUUGAAUUCCCCUUUUGGUAAUACCACGUACACCAAGGUUUUCGUUGGGGGGCUUGCUUGGGAGACUCAGAGCGAGACCAUGGGCCGUUAUUUCGAGCAGUUUGGAGAAAUUCUCGAGGCCGUUGUCAUCACCGAUAAGAAUACCGG
Molecule: unclassified non-coding RNA, 251 nt
Filed under: Hevea brasiliensis (rubber tree)
Lineage: Eukaryota; Viridiplantae; Streptophyta; Magnoliopsida; Malpighiales; Euphorbiaceae
Source: RNAcentral